AAUACUUACAUGAUGACAAUUUCAUACCCAAAGCUGAGUGAAAAAUGCUGAGCUCAUUUAUAACAUGCACUACCAUCUGAAUAGUUUU
Ceratitis capitata (Mediterranean fruit fly) is the source of this 88-nucleotide small nucleolar RNA. The record is from RefSeq and is a predicted model, not a curated record. NCBI's taxonomy places the organism in Eukaryota, Metazoa, Arthropoda, Insecta, Diptera, Tephritidae.